This is a long non-coding RNA of Cololabis saira (Pacific saury), 548 nucleotides long. RefSeq lists it as uncharacterized. Lineage: Eukaryota; Metazoa; Chordata; Actinopteri; Beloniformes; Belonidae. The transcript is spliced from 4 exons. The record is from RefSeq and is a predicted model, not a curated record.
CCUGAGUCAGGCCACGCCCACACCUGAGUCAGGCCACGCCCACACCUGAGUCAGGCCACGCCCACACCUGAGUCUGGACUUUAAACAUCGAUUAUCGUCUCGCCUGAAGUUACAGAAGCUUCACCUGCAGAUUCUAAAUGGGGACGAUAAACUCCAGGGAACGUCCUCCACACUUCAGGACACCACUACCACAACUACCACCUUCAGGAAGAAGAGUCCAAAUGGAGGAUCAGAAAUCUAGAAACGCUUCGACAUCUUCACCAACCAGCGUGGUGUCUACAUCCAGCAGGGGAGCAGAAUCCCGGUGGAGGUUUGGAUGCAUCUUGAGCUGAAGAUAUUAACUGACUUCUCAUAUUCUUCUAAUGUGAGCUAAUAAUUCCCCCUUCACAUGAGCAGCCUUAACCCCCCCCUUAUGCUGCUCGUGCUCGUGUAACCAGGGCCUUCCCAACUGAAUAAAAAGAGGAGACGAGGCAGAGACGGACAGAGAUGUUUGGGGUGUUGGGACUGCACGUUCUCUGACUUCUCUCCUCGCGGGUUUUUAACCUGAA